GAUGAACGCUGGCGGCGUGCCUAAUACAUGCAAGUCGAGCGAACGGACGAGAAGCUUGCUUCUCUGAUGUUAGCGGCGGACGGGGGAGUAAGACGUGGAUAACCUACCUAUAAGACUGGGAUAACUUCGGGAAACCGGAGCUAAUACCGGAUAAUAUUUUGAACCGCAUGGUUCAAAAGUGAAAGACGGUCUUGCUGUCACUUAUAGAUGGAUCCGCGCUGCAUUAGCUAGUUGGUAAGGUAACGGCUUACCAAGGCAACGAUGCAUAGCCGACCUGAGAGGGUGAUCGGCCACACGGGAACUGAGACAGGGUCCAGACUCCUACGGGAGGCAGCAGUAGGGAAUCUUCCGCAAUGGGCGAAAGCCUGACGGAGCAACGCCGCGUGAGUGAUGAAGGUCUUCGGAUCGUAAAACUCUGUUAUUAGGGAAGAACAUAUGUGUAAGUAACUGUGCACAUCUUGACGGUACCUAAUCAGAAAGCCACGGCUAACUACGUG
RNAcentral lists this ribosomal RNA (497 nucleotides) under uncultured bacterium. RNAcentral's name for it is "partial 16S ribosomal RNA". It matches the Rfam family "Bacterial small subunit ribosomal RNA", at positions 28 to 507 of the family's 1533-position model. The record is from RNAcentral.